This 341-nucleotide ribosomal RNA is filed under the name uncultured bacterium. RNAcentral's name for it is "bacterial SSU rRNA". It matches the Rfam family "Bacterial small subunit ribosomal RNA", at positions 29 to 393 of the family's 1533-position model. The record is from RNAcentral.
AACGAACGCUGGCGGCAGGCUUAAUACAUGCAAGUCGAACGGGCGCGAGCAAUCGCGUCAGUGGCAGACGGGUGAGUAACACGUGGGAACCUUCCUCGUUGUACGGAACAACUCAGGGAAACUUGAGCUAAUACCGUAUAAGUCCGAGAGGAGAAAGAUUUAUCGCAAUGAGACGGGCCCGCGUCGGAUUAGGUAGUUGGUGAGGUAACGGCUCACCAAGCCGACGAUCCGUAGCUGANCUGAGAGGAUGAUCAGCCACACUGGGACUGAGACACGGCCCAGACUCCUACGGGAGGCAGCAGUAGGGAAUCUUGGACAAUGGGCGCAAGCCUGAUCCAGCC